UCUCCGUUGGUGAACCAGCGGAGGGAUCAUUACUGGAAUCGCAAGCUCCAACAACCCUGUGACCCUACCGAAACUUUGCCUCGGCGGGCGCGUGGCCCCCGCUCCGGCCGCUGCGCCCGCCGGCGGCCCCCUACUCUGUCUCUUCUGCGUGGAAUCUCAGAGUACCAGAAAACAAUUCAAAACUUUCAACAACGGAUCUCUUGGCUCUG
RNAcentral lists this unclassified non-coding RNA (209 nucleotides) under plant metagenome. RNAcentral describes it as "partial contains small subunit ribosomal RNA, internal transcribed spacer 1, and 5.8S ribosomal RNA". The record is from RNAcentral.